Molecule: long non-coding RNA, 377 nt
Filed under: Homo sapiens (human)
Lineage: Eukaryota; Metazoa; Chordata; Mammalia; Primates; Hominidae
Description: non-protein coding lnc-SIMC1-6:2
Source: RNAcentral
CGAAAAGCUCUCACCUAAAACUGUCCGUUUUACAUCCGUAUCCACCUGUGUAGAUCGGUUCUUUACUGAAGGUUCUUAGAAGGAAACUUGGAAGUGGGAGAAUUCGACACCAAAUUUUGGAACUUAAAAAGAAGAUUCUUAAAACUUACAAUCCAGGUUGUUCAGGCUGAGAAGGAAGAGAGGUUGGUCUUGCUGUCUCUGGGUUGCAGAGGCAGAAGAAAAUCUGCAUAUAAAUGAACUCCUGCAGUUCAAACCCUUGCUGUUCAAGGGUGAACUGUAUUACCUGUUAAUUUGUGUCACUAAGGAAGUAUCUUUAGAACCGGGAACUCAACAAUCCCUUUCUCGUAGAAUAAAUAAAUGGCAGUAAGAACUGUAAA